Molecule: long non-coding RNA, 1104 nt
Organism: Mercenaria mercenaria
Lineage: Eukaryota; Metazoa; Mollusca; Bivalvia; Venerida; Veneridae
Exons: 5
Source: RefSeq, a predicted model, not a curated record
AACCGAAGUGCGAAUCACGUGACAUUUCGUUGCCCAGUGAACUCGUGUUCAUGCAGUAGUCAGUCGUCGUUUGAGGGUUGGAGGACAAAGAACAAACGCAAAGCGCGGAAGGAAGAGAGCAGAGACUUUUACUAUUUCCGUGCAUGGAAAUGUGAAGUAUUGACAGUCCUUGUGUAGAAAGCCAGACACUUUGUUCCCAUGGAAAUGUGAAAUGGUGCCAGGUGUUGUGUAUGUCUCCUGCCUUCACUCUGCUAGACCACUACUGCAUGGAUCUUCAGUAUCUCCAAUUAGAACAUUCUACCAUCUCCGCCAUGAUUAUGGUUGAAUUGCAAUUCCAGCGUAGCAAGUGCUGUAUCAUGUAAGGCCAGCAUGUAUGUUUUUCUCACAAAGCAACAAGGUGUGUCGAGGCGGAAGCAGUGCAUCUGGAUAGACAUGAGAAUGGUUCUAUUCCAAUGGUUGUGAGCAUGAAAUCACCUGACCUUGUGCAGAAGACAUCUUCUAUGAACCAACUACACAGUGACAUGUAUACCUCCAAUUUACUGUGUCUUAGUCAAGAAGUUAACUUGGACCUGUCUCACAGGGAGUCAUUGAUUAGCAACUAGGUAGCAGGACACACUUCACAGAUGGAACCACUUUUUAUUGUCUGGCUGGAAUUCAAAGAGCUUAAACUACCAUCAGGAAAAUCUUCCAUGUAGUAACUAAAGCUAGCAUGCGGACUUGGAACAUUGCUAUUGAGUCUUCUACACAGUAACACUGACCCAAAGUGUUGUUUUUCUAGCAUCUGGAACAUUCACACAGAUGACAGAAGAUACCUGUCAAUAAGCACAAUAAACUUUACUAUCUGUAUAUACUAACAGGCCUGAUACUGAAGGCUAUAACCAAAGCCUAAGCCGGGAUCUGCUUAGCUGAAAUAAACACAAGGCUAACCAAGUGUGACAUUAGAGCAAAAUUCAUUCAAAUGUGCCAGAGAAAGAUAGACAUCAAAAUUCACUGACAUAACAUUUUAAGUAAUGUUCAAAGAGGUAGUGGUUCAAAGGUGAUAGUGAAAACCCACUGAAUGUGACAUUAAAGUUCAGAUGUCAGUGAACGUUAGUUUAAAUAUUU